AUGUCUUGCUCCUCCGGUGAUUCAUCGGCUUCUCGAGGCGGUGGGCUCCGAAGGAGAGGCGCAGCAGUAGCAAGGUCUCCGGUGCCCUAUCGGGAGCAGCCAAUGGCUUACGAGCCGCCGGUGAUUUGCGCUCGGUGCGGCAGGAAGGCGCCGCGAUGGAUAUCCUGGAGUGCGGCGAACCCUGGUAGGAGAUAUUAUUCCUGCGUAGAUUCUCUGACUGCACAGCAUGGCUUUAUCGACUGGCAUGACACCCCUACGACUCCAUUUCUUCGUCAAUUGCUAGGAGACCUACGGGAUAAAGUGUGGAGGCUGGAGGAUGGCUUGCUAGCCAGUCAAGGGAAGGAGAGGUUGCAGUUUUGA
This 360-nucleotide ribosomal RNA is filed under the name Triticum aestivum (bread wheat). Its description in RNAcentral is "partial small subunit ribosomal RNA". The record is from RNAcentral. Lineage: Eukaryota; Viridiplantae; Streptophyta; Magnoliopsida; Poales; Poaceae.